Long non-coding RNA from Bos taurus (domestic cattle), 402 nucleotides. The record is from Ensembl. Lineage: Eukaryota; Metazoa; Chordata; Mammalia; Artiodactyla; Bovidae.
AAAAGCCGCAGGUGAACUGCAGUGAAGAAGUCCUUGGAGGAGGCUGGGCAGGUGGCCCCCAGCUGGAGGAGCUCCUCACUUAGCUCUAAGGACAAGAGGUGGAGAAGCAGCCCCAGGAAAACAACCUCUGGAGAGGACAUCCUGAGUCAGGUUCCUGGAGGCACCUCUGAGGAUGGCAGAAUAGCUCCUUCAGAACACUGUUGGACCUGGGACUUCCUCAGUCCUUUGUUCUGUCCACCUGGACAAAGUGGCCCCGACCAGCACUGGAGAGGAAGAGAAUGUGGAUACCUUAGAAUUAGAAAACUACAGUAUGUAACUUUGGAAAACAGCAAAGAGGAAGAAACAGCAUAAUUCUACCUUCCUAACCAUCUCCGUUAUUCUCUUACAAUAAAAGCACUCCCA